RNAcentral lists this ribosomal RNA (558 nucleotides) under uncultured archaeon. RNAcentral's name for it is "bacterial SSU rRNA". It matches the Rfam family "Archaeal small subunit ribosomal RNA", at positions 216 to 776 of the family's 1478-position model. The record is from RNAcentral.
CGCGGCCGAUCAGGCUGUUGGUGAGGCAACGGCUCACCAAACCUAUAACCGGUCCGGGCCGUGGGAGCGGGAGCCCGGAGAUGGGAACUGAGACAAGGUCCCAGGCCCUACGGGGCGCAGCAGUUACGAAAACUUGUCACUGCACGAAAGUUCGAACGGGCUACCCCGAGUGCCGUCCGCUGAGGAUGGCUUUUCUCUGCUGUAAGAAGGCGGAGGAAUAAGGAGAGGGCAAGUCUGGUGUCAGCCGCCGCGGUAAUACCAGCUCUCCGAGUGGUGGGGAUGUUUAUUGGGCCUAAAGCGUCCGUAGCUGGCCUUUCAAGUCUCUCGUUAAAUCCAGCGAUUCAAUCGUUGGACUGCGGGAGAUCCUGUUAGGCUAGGGGGCGGGAGAAGCCGACGGUAUUCUCGGGGUAGGGGUAAAAUCCUGUAAUCCCGGGAAGACCACCAGUGGCGAAGGCGGUCGGCUAGCACGCGCUCGACGGUGAGGGACGAAAGCUGGGGGAGCGAACCGGAUUAGAUACCCGGGUAGUCCCAGCUGUAAACGAUGCAGGCUAGGUGUUU